GCACAACGCGAAGAACCUUACCAAGGCUUGACAUACACCAGAACACCCUGGAAACAGGGGACUCUUUGGACACUGGUGAACAGGUGGUGCAUGGUUGUCGUCAGCUCGUGUCGUGAGAUGUUGGGUUAAGUCCCGCAACGAGCGCAACCCUCGUUCUAUGUUGCCAGCACGUAAUGGUGGGAACUCAUGGGAUACUGCCGGGGUCAACUCGGAGGAAGGUGGGGAUGACGUCAAAUCAUCAUGCCCCUUAUGUCUUGGGCUUCACGCAUGCUACAAUGGCCGGUACAAUGGGCUGCGAUACCGUAAGGUGGAGCGAAUCCCAAAAAGCCGGUCCCAGUUCGGAUUGAGGUCUGCAACUCGACCUCAUGAAGUCGGAGUCGCUAGUAAUCGCAGAUCAGCAACGCUGCGGUGAAUACGUUCCCGGG
This 425-nucleotide ribosomal RNA is filed under the name uncultured bacterium. Its description in RNAcentral is "bacterial SSU rRNA". It matches the Rfam family "Bacterial small subunit ribosomal RNA", at positions 954 to 1378 of the family's 1533-position model. The record is from RNAcentral.